GGGUCGUUCGUCUAAUGGCAUGACACCGGACUUUUAAUCCGGCGCGAAUUUUUGCAUUGAGUGUUCGAAUCACUCACGACCCACCA
Molecule: transfer RNA, 86 nt
Filed under: Gammaproteobacteria bacterium
Lineage: Bacteria; Pseudomonadati; Pseudomonadota; Gammaproteobacteria
Description: tRNA-Lys
Rfam family: tRNA
About the family: Transfer RNA (tRNA) molecules are approximately 80 nucleotides in length. Their secondary structure includes four short double-helical elements and three loops (D, anti-codon, and T loops).
Source: RNAcentral